RNAcentral lists this long non-coding RNA (1363 nucleotides) under Homo sapiens (human). RNAcentral's name for it is "HSALNT0391040". Lineage: Eukaryota; Metazoa; Chordata; Mammalia; Primates; Hominidae. The record is from RNAcentral.
AGCAGUCAGGAAGCAGCACUGGCGGUGGGGGGAAGGACAUAGAAACGUCUGCGAAUGAAUCCAAACUCAAAAAUUGUUCUCCAAUGUCAUAGGAGCAGCAGGCCUGGCUCCUGCCCAGGAGGCACCUGGCCUAGAUCUCAGCGUCACUGCGGAGUUAACCAAGGGAAGCGGCACCAGCAUCACACCCUGUUCCAGCCAACAGUCUCCAGCGUCCCUGACAGAUGUCGGGAAGUUCUUUUCCCCGUAAGAUCCCGGAGAAUGUCCUGAGGCUGCCGUGUGGAAGCUCUGGGGCCUUUCUCGUCUCCCACUGCCAGCUUAAUGAGCUGUGCUGGUAGCAACAGAUGGCGCCCCGCAGGGUCUCACUUGGAUAGCUUGGAAAGUUCCUGGACACCAGUUGGACUUGCCGCGAAAACCAUUAAUCUGGCCUUUCAGAGAAAAUCUUCAGAAGAAUGUAUUUGCAAGAAUCUCAGGUCUGACAUGGAAGAAGUUUUGAUGACUUACUGCCAACUUUGUAUCACCCCCAAAAUGCUUUAGAGAAAUAUCUCUCUACAGAGGAAAGCAAGGAACUGUGACUUUAACUAGUGAAUUGGAUCAACGUGUCCAGCUAAUUCAGGUACCAAAUCCUAUUUUUCUGUAACAGCAGAAAACUGUCACGACUGCCACUGAGCUCAACUUUUCCUGAACAGACUCAGCUAAAAUCCUUGCCAUGUCUCAGUUCUCAUUUCACUAUGCUAAUUAGGGAGCCCAGAGGGUGAGUCUACACAUGUAAAAUGGAUGGAUCUUAACACAUCGAUGCUUUGUUUUUAGCCAGAUUGCUGCACAACUGAUUCCACUUCUGCAGCAACUGCCAUCCAUCACCAGGACUGCUCUGCCUGGGGACAGCCAGGCCACAGCCCUGCUGACGUCUGCAUGGGUCUUGGACGUGGUCUAGGGCCAGAACGCAGUGAUGAAGCUGGUGGUUUGUAGAGGCUUUUACUACAAGUAACAUCCCUCAUUUGAUGAAAUAGAUAUCUUUCUGCCAACUUGGCUCUGUCACUGAAACCUGGUGUUUUUGUCUGGUAAUUCUUCAAAUUUGAUGUUUUAAAGAAUGUUAAGUGAAUUAAUUCCUCCUUUUUGUCAGUGCUAUAAGUUCCAUACAGAGUUUGCUCAGUCUGAAGUACAUCUGUAUUAAUUAGACAAACUAAAGCAUUGGGUGGAUCUAAACGGUUCCUUUUAAUGAUUUUUCUCCACGAUGACAAGGCACACUAUACAAACAACCACCUGAUUUUAGCAAGAGGGCUAAAAAUUAUAUUGCAUAAAUGGAGUUGCAUUAUUUAAACUUAAAUUCAGGCCAGGUGCGGUGGCUCACGCCUGUAAUCCUAGC